AGAGUUUGAUCCUGGCUCAGAUUGAACGCUGGCGGCAUGCUUUACACAUGCAAGUCGGACGGCAGCGCGGGCUUCGGCCUGGCGGCGAGUGGCGGACGGGUGAGUAAGACAUCGGAACGUGCCACGGGGUGGGGGACAACCAGCCGAAAGGUUGGCUAAUACCGCAUGGCAUCCACGGAUUAAAGCGGGGGACCCUUUUGGGCCCCGCGCCCUGUGAGCGGCCGAUGGCUGAUUAGCUGGUUGGUGGGGUAACGGCCCACCAAGGCGACGAUCAGUAGCUGGUCUGAGAGGACGGCCAGCCACAUUGGGACUGAGACACGGCCCAAACUCCUACGGGAGGCAGCAGUGGGGAAUUUUGGACAAUGGGGGGAACCCUGAUCCAGCAAUGCCGCGUGAGUGAAGAAGGCUUUCGGGUUGUAAAGCUCUUUUGCCAGGGAAGAAAAGGGGCAGGUUAAGAGCCGGUCCUGCUGACGGUACCUGGAGAAUAAGCACCGGCUAACUACGUGCCAGCAGCCGCGGUAAUACGUAGGGUGCGAGCGUUAAUCGGAAUUACUGGGCGUAAAGCGUGCGCAGGCGGUUGUGUAAGACAGGUGUGAAAUGCCCGGGCUUAACCUGGGAACUGCACUUGUGACUGCACGGCUGGAGUGCGCCAGAGGGGGGUGGAAUUCCACGUGUAGCAGUGAAAUGCGUAGAUAUGUGGAGGAACACCGAUGGCGAAGGCAGCCCCCUGGGGUGACACUGACGCUCAUGCACGAAAGCGUGGGGAGCAAACAGGAUUAGAUACCCUGGUAGUCCACGCCCUAAACGAUGUCGACCAGCUGUCGGGCCUGCAAGGGCUAGGUAGCGAAGCCAACGCGAGAAGUCGACCGCCUGGGGAGUACGGCCGCAAGGUUAAAACUCAAAGGAAUUGACGGGGACCCGCACAAGCGGUGGAUGAUGUGGAUUAAUUCGAUGCAACGCGAAAAACCUUACCUACCCUUGACAUCCCACUGACCGGUGGUUAAUCCCACCUUUUCUUCGGAACAGUGGUGACAGGUGGUGCAUGGUUGUCGUCAGCUCGUGUCGUGAGAUGUUGGGUUAAGUCCCGCAACGAGCGCAACCCUUGUCUUUAGUAGCCAGCAGUUUAAGCUGGGCACUCUAGAGAGACUGCCAGGGAUAACCUGGAGGAAGGCGGGGAUGACGUCAAAUCAUCAUGCCCCUUACGAGCAGGGCUACACACGUGCUACAAUGGCGUAAACAAAGGGAAGCGACCCUGUGAAGGUGAGCAAAUCUCAAAAAUAACGUCUCAGUUCGGAUCGAAGUCUGCAACUCAACUUCGUGAAGUUGGAACCGCUAGUAAUCGCGAAUCAGAAUGUCGCGGUGAAUACGUUCCCGGGUCUUGUACACACCGCCCGUCACACCAUGGGAGUCGGAUAUGCCCGAAGUCAGUGACCCAACCUUAUGGAGGGAGCUGCCGAAGGUGGAGCCGAUAACUGGGGUGAAGUCGUAACAAGGUAACC
RNAcentral lists this ribosomal RNA (1499 nucleotides) under uncultured bacterium. RNAcentral describes it as "partial 16S ribosomal RNA". It matches the Rfam family "Bacterial small subunit ribosomal RNA". The record is from RNAcentral.